GGAAAAGCUUUGGGCGCGCGUGGGAACAGUUUAGGCGCGCGCGGGAAGGGUUUGUAAUAAAGAACCCGGAAAUGUGCCGUCUUGUCUCCGCUUUGCGGAGAUCAAGCAACAGAGGUCGGCUAAUUCCGGGCCUCAUGGCUCCGGACAACAACUGAAGAAGGAAAGAGCUUGAAGAACUUGCUCAGACUACAAACGAGAACCAAAAUAAAAUUGCACAGCGUCAUUUCUGGUGUGAGGAGAAAAGACUGAACCUUCUGGAGAACAUCAGAGAUUUCCCAGGACCCCAUUUUUAAUUCUGAGAAGUGAGCUUGGCAUCAUCGGGUGUCCAGUUAUCAAAAAGCAGUGAUUCCCUUCCCUCCCCUACCUCACCCUGUGAUCACAUGGCUUCCAGCUCAUUGAUCCCUGGAAGAAAGACACAUUCCAUAGAUUUGGGGAUCAACAGAGAAGAGCCCUGCUCUGCUGUGGGAUCUCAGCUGUAUCUACCCCGCAAGUUGCUGUCAGUAAAGACCCCUUCUGGGGGCACAUCAGAGGGGAAAAGUGUGAGCAGGGGUGCUUGUUCUUGGUGAAAUCAGCAUUUCCAGUUAUCGUGUAAAAAUGCCUUCAGAAAAGACAAGCUGUCCAAGGGAAAUAGUCUCAAGGAUUUUCAGUUCUGGAAAUUUAUCCCCCAUUCCCUCCCUUGCAAAGUCCUGAGGGCUGCUCUUUCCAAGAUGAUGUGGACCUGGAUAGAUUUUGGCUAAGGGCUGGCUUGAAUGCUCUGUGCUGAAGGGAUCCAGCUGUCUUCCUCUGGGCCUCCAUAUCCUGCUUGUUGCAGUAGAAAUGAGAUCAUUGUCCCUAAGACAAAACAAUAAGGAGGAAACCCAGGCCCACAGAGCUGAUGGACCUCAGAGCAUCAUCUGGAAAGUACUGAAGUAUUGCUAUCCAGCCCUUGAAGAACAUGUGCAUGUUGUAAUUGCACAAAUUCAUUGGAAAACAAUAGUAAUAAUAAAGGUAAAAUUAAGCACUCACCACCAAUGGUGCAAAUCCCAUAACUGCUAUUUUUCUGUUUCAGUGGUCAUUUCCUUGUGAGGCUGUGUGGUUAUUCAUUUAACCAAUCCUCUGUUGUUG
This 1104-nucleotide long non-coding RNA is filed under the name Rhinopithecus bieti (black snub-nosed monkey). RNAcentral's name for it is "lncRNA (ENSRBIG00000045850.1)". The record is from RNAcentral. Lineage: Eukaryota; Metazoa; Chordata; Mammalia; Primates; Cercopithecidae.